This 24-nucleotide non-coding RNA is filed under the name Rattus norvegicus (Norway rat). The record is from RNAcentral. Lineage: Eukaryota; Metazoa; Chordata; Mammalia; Rodentia; Muridae.
UAGCACAUUAAAGUCGCUCGGUCC